Molecule: transfer RNA, 77 nt
Filed under: Mariprofundus sp.
Lineage: Bacteria; Pseudomonadati; Pseudomonadota; Candidatius Mariprofundia; Mariprofundales; Mariprofundaceae
Also listed under: 3 other names
Description: tRNA-Arg
Rfam family: tRNA
About the family: Transfer RNA (tRNA) molecules are approximately 80 nucleotides in length. Their secondary structure includes four short double-helical elements and three loops (D, anti-codon, and T loops).
Source: RNAcentral
GCGCCUGUAGCUCAAUUGGAUAGAGCAACAGCCUUCUAAGCUGUAGGCUGCAGGUUCGAGCCCUGCCAGGCGCGCCA